ACCUACAGCCAUACCACCCUUAAUGCACCUGAUCUCAUCUGACCUCAGAAGCUAAGCAGGUUUGGGUUUGGUUAGCACUUGGAUGGGAGAUAUAUAUAUAUAUACAUG
Molecule: non-coding RNA, 108 nt
Organism: Papio anubis (olive baboon)
Lineage: Eukaryota; Metazoa; Chordata; Mammalia; Primates; Cercopithecidae
Source: Rfam